AUUGAACGCUGGCGGCGUGCCUAACACAUGCAAGUCGAGCGGCAGCGCGGGAGCAAUCCUGGCGGCGAGCGGCGGACGGGUGAGUAACGCUUGGGAAUCUGCCUGUUAGUGGGGGACAACCCGGGGAAACUCGGGCUAAUACCGCAUACGCACUACGGUGGAAAGCCGGGGACCGCAAGGCCUGGCGCUAACAGAUGAGCCCAAGUCGGAUUAGCUAGUUGGUAGGGUAACGGCCUACCAAGGCGACGAUCCGUAACUGGUCUGAGAGGACGACCAGUCACACCGGAACUGAGACACGGUCCGGACUCCUACGGGAGGCAGCAGUGGGGAAUAUUGGACAAUGGGGGAAACCCUGAUCCAGCGACGCCGCGUGGGUGAAGAAGGCCUGCGGGUUGUAAAGCCCUUUCAGUGGGGAAGAAAAGCCUCGACCUAAUACGUUGGGGUCUUGACGUAACCCAUAGAAGAAGCACCGGCUAACUCUGUGCCA
RNAcentral lists this ribosomal RNA (487 nucleotides) under uncultured bacterium. RNAcentral's name for it is "bacterial SSU rRNA". It matches the Rfam family "Bacterial small subunit ribosomal RNA", at positions 29 to 510 of the family's 1533-position model. The record is from RNAcentral.